This is a long non-coding RNA of Gadus morhua (Atlantic cod), 3112 nucleotides long. RefSeq lists it as uncharacterized. The transcript has 2 exons. The record is from RefSeq and is a predicted model, not a curated record. Lineage: Eukaryota; Metazoa; Chordata; Actinopteri; Gadiformes; Gadidae.
AGGACCCCCCUCCCACCUCCCCUUUAAGACCCCCCUCCCACCUCCCCUUUAAGGACCCCCUGAACCUCCCCUUUAAGGACCCCCGUAUUCCACCACUUUAAGAACUCCCAGCCACCUCCAUUUAAUAUGCCUGUAUCACCGCCCCUUUAAGACCCCCCUCAGCACAGACACCAGACCUGGGUGGUGAGGCGAUGGGGGGGUGAGGGGGUGAGGGGGUGAGGGGCGGAAAGGGUGUCACGCAUGACCUGGGUUGCCGUGGAAACAGGCUAAGGAAUGCCGGACGGUUUAUCCGAGUGCCAAAGCUGGAAGUGGAAGGUCCGGACUCCAGCGGACCAGGACCCCCCAGUCUCCAGGACCAGCUAGUCCCCAGGACCCCCCAGUCUCCAGGACCCCCCCCUUCCCCCCCGGCCCCCCUGUACAUACGGACGUCGGUUGGUUUUGUUGAACUGUUAUAGAUUUGUACAAUUUUACAUGAAGAAAUUUGUUACAUUUUGUAAACAGGAGUAAACUACACACACACACACACACACACACACACACACACACACACACACACACACACACACACACACACACACACACACACACACACACACAGCAGAUCUCUCUCCAGUCUGCGUCUUCUAAGUAUUUGGUCUCUAAAACUACGGUGCCAGCAGUGUGUAAACGUGCACAGCGUGGGCGUGCACGUUUAUUUUGUACUCCCCCAGCCUUGUGGAACCACUAGACUCCCAGACUGGGUUCUGACCUGGUCUGCACCGGACCCUCCUCACAGGAAGAGGAGGAUCUUCAGAUGAAGUGGAGGAGGAAGACGAAGGUCUAAGAGCGCCCCUAGUCCUGGUCGAGACCUGGUCUUAGUCCUGGUCGAGACCUGGUCUUAGUCCAGGUCUAGACCUGGUCUUAGUCCUGUUCGAGACGUCUUGGACCAGCAGUCCUUUGAGGACGCACUGUGUGAAUCAGAACAAAACAGGACUUCUUCAACACAUGCACACACACGCAUAUAUGGUACACACGCAUGCAUGGUACACACGCACACAUAUGGCACACAAACAAACACACACACUCCGACAAACACAGCUCAAUGCAUCUCAAAUUCCUGCUGCCUGAACUGUUGUUAACCUGUCUAGUAGUCUCUCUCCCCUCGCUCUCCCUCUGUGUAACUGUUCAGUGUGUUUCGUUGUGUGUCGGCCCAUCCACAUCUGUAGAGGGUUAGCAGCACAGCUGCCCUCCACGUCGGCUCAAAGGAGCUCCGCGCGACGCAGCGGAGAGCUGCUGUAGUCCGCUCUGUAGCCGCGCAUGGCCGCUCAUAUAUCAAUACUGUACAACGCUUCUGAUAGGCUGACCUCUCGCUGGACCCCCUCUCAGACCCCCACCGGACCCCCACCGGACCUGGACCUGGGUUAGACCCUAUCUAGACGGCACUCGGACCCGACCUAGACCUGAGUUAGACUCGAUCUAGACUGGCUCUAGAUGUGCCCCCUGGCCCGUUGACCCUCAGCUCAUCACGCUGGUGUAGACGCCGCUGAACCCGACGCCGUGAAUGAGUGACCGACAAAUGAAUGAAUGAAAUACUGAAGGGCAGCCCACCGCCGGUGGAGCCCCGUGUUCAGGGUGACCCGCUGAAUGUGGACCCAGGAAGACCCAGCUAGCUGAUGGCUAGGUAGCUGAUAGCUAGCUGAUAGGUAGCUGCCAGCUAGCUGAUGAAUAGGUAGCUGCCAGCUAGCUGAAGGCUAGGUAGCCGCCAGCUAGCUGACGGCUAGGUAGCUGAUAGCUAGCUGAUGGAUAGGUAGCUGCCAGCUAGCUGAUGAAUAGGUAGCUGCCAGCUAGCUGACGGCUAGGUAGCUGCCAGCUAGCUGAAGGCUAGGUAGCCGCCAGCUAGCUGACGGCUAGGUAGCUGAUAGCUAGCUGAUGGAUAGGUAGCUGCCAGCUAGCUGAUGAAUAGGUAGCUGCCAGCUAGCUGACGGCUAGGUAGCCGCCGGCUAGCUGACGGCUAGGUAGCCGCCGGCUAGCUGACGGCUAGGUAGCCGCCGGCUAGCUGACGGCUAGGUAGCCGCCGGCUAGCUGACGGUUAGGUAGCCGCCGGCUAGCUGACGGCUAGGUAGCCGCCGGCUAGCUGAUGGCUAGGUAGCUGCCAGCUAGAGGGUAGCUGCCAGCUAGAGCGCUGCAAACCAGCUGAUGGCUAGAUAGCUUCCAGAUAAAGAGCUUCUAGAAAGGUACUUUCUAGUUGGACAGUUGCUUGACUGGUGGUUUCUAGCGAGCCGCUAGGUGGUUUUCUAGCUAAGUAGCUGCUGGACAGAUAGCUGCCAACAAGGCAAUGUAGCUGCUAGCUAGAUUCUAUGGUUCUAUCUUGAGGUUCUAUCUUGAUCGCUGAUGUUCUGCUAGUUGCUGGCUACGUUACCUCCAGGCAGAAGCUUUCAUCUUCUGAUAAACUGCUCAAGUGUGGCGUUAACGAGUUGACUAGCUGAGCUGGGUGGUGAUGGUUAGAAGCUAGCUAGGUAGCUAGCUAGGUAGCAGCUGCUAAUGAAGAAGCCACCAGUUCUUCUGCGAUAACUUCCUGGUUCAAACUGUUUCUUGACUCGUCUUGCUUUGCUUCGGUUCCCCAGACGUCGGUACUCCUCCAAACCGCCCUAAUCCGGUUCUGCUCACUCUGCACUUUUCAAAGUAAAAGUCCUGCCGUGUUCGGAUGCUGGGAGGAAUCGUACGGGAAUGGUUUCGGGGGGGAGGGCAGGGGUGCUGAGGGGAUCCCUCCCAUGUGGAGGUCAGAGGUCAGUCCGGUUCCAUUCUGCUUCUCCUCACGCCCCCCCCCCCCCCCCGCUGGGCUGUAGGGCAGGGGGGCUCCAUGCCUGGACUCCGCCUCCUCUCUGGUCCCCAACGGAUCAAAUGUAUUCAACUCUUUGGUAUAAUCUUUGAGUCCAAAGGUACUUAUUCAUGUGGACAUCUCGCUACAUCGAGGCACGCCCCCAAGAGCACUUGUAUGAACCUUCAUUAACGUAUGUAGCAUUAGAUUGGUUCAAUGAGAUGUCGUGUUGAGAUGUUGUCCCGCCCCUUUCGCCCAGAGCAGCCACUCAGGCUGCUGCUGUGUGCUUCAAUAAAUACAACUGCCUUCUCAAAG